GCGUGAGUGAAGAAGGCCUUAGGGUUGUAAAACUCUUUCGCCGGUGAAGAUAAUGACGGUAACCGGAGAAGAAGCCCCGGCUAACUUCGUGCCAGCAGCCGCGGUAAUACGAAGGGGGCUAGCGUUGUUCGGAAUUACUGGGCGUAAAGCGCACGUAGGCGGAUUGGUAAGUAGGGGGUGAAAUCCCCGGGCUCAACCCGGGAACUGCCUUCUAGACUGCCAGUCUUGAGGUCAGGAGAGGCGAGUGGAAUUCCGAGUGUAGAGGUGAAAUUCGU
Molecule: ribosomal RNA, 275 nt
Filed under: uncultured bacterium
Lineage: Bacteria
Description: partial 16S ribosomal RNA
Rfam family: Bacterial small subunit ribosomal RNA
Source: RNAcentral